This 479-nucleotide ribosomal RNA is filed under the name Aurelia labiata. RNAcentral's name for it is "partial 16S ribosomal RNA". It matches the Rfam family "Bacterial large subunit ribosomal RNA", at positions 1842 to 2482 of the family's 2925-position model. The record is from RNAcentral. Lineage: Eukaryota; Metazoa; Cnidaria; Scyphozoa; Semaeostomeae; Ulmaridae.
CUCUUGUAAGGUGAAGCCUGCCCAAUGGCUGCCAAUAACGUACCCAAAAUCAGUUCAAUGGCCGCGGUAACUCUGACCGUGAUAAAGUAGCAUAAUCACUUGUCACUUAAUUGGUGACUGGAAUGAAUGGCUAAACGAAUCCUCCCCUGUCUCUGAGAGAAUUCCGGCAAACUUGAAAUAGUAGUGAAGAUGCUACUAAAUAAUUGUAAGACGAAAAGACCCUAUCGAGCUUUACUGGAAGCUUGUAUACUGAUAUGGCUAUCUGAAACGAAGCCUUUUGAACUGCAAGCCCGACAGUUUGGUUGGGGCGACCACCCCUAAAAAUGUAUCAGGGGAACUCUAAAGGUUAUCCUAAUAUGAAAAGUUGCCUUACUGGAGACAAACAAGUCAAUCAGUUAUAAUAUAUAGGACAUAUUGACCCGUUAUUUUAAUCACAGCAAAUAACGACCAUGAAAAAAGUUACCGUAGGGAUAACAGGG